This 385-nucleotide ribosomal RNA is filed under the name uncultured bacterium. RNAcentral describes it as "bacterial SSU rRNA". It matches the Rfam family "Bacterial small subunit ribosomal RNA", at positions 28 to 414 of the family's 1533-position model. The record is from RNAcentral.
GACGAACGCUGGCGGCGUGCUUAACACAUGCAAGUCGAGCGGUAAGGCCCUUUCGGGGGUACACGAGCGGCGAACGGGUGAGUAACACGUGGGUGACCUGCCCUCAGCUCUGGGAUAAGCCUGGGAAACCGGGUCUAAUACUGGAUAUGACUCCAUGACGCAUGUUGUGGGGUGGAAAGCCUUGUGCGGCUGAGGAUGGGCCCGCGGCCUAUCAGCUUGUUGGUGGGGUGAUGGCCUACCAAGGCGACGACGGGUAGCCGGCCUGAGAGGGCGACCGGCCACACUGGGACUGAGACACGGCCCAGACUCCUACGGGAGGCAGCAGUGGGGAAUCUUGCGCAAUGGGCGAAAGCCUGACGCAGCGACGCCGCGUGAGGGAUGACGG